GGGGGAGCCGGGGGUCGGGGCCGGGGAGCGGUGGAACUUCUCAGAAAAAUAGGUGCCCGUCCACGGAGCCUUGGCGCACUCCCGCUCCGCUCUUUGGCUCUGGGAGUCCAGUCUCCUGAAACCGAGGUGUGGGUUACAUUUCUGUGGGUGCACCCAUUGCCAUGAGUGCGGCUGCUUAAUGCUUCUGUCAUUGGAAGUCUGGUCUCCAAACCACUGCCUCAAGCCAGCAUGACUCCAGCUGCCUGGAAUUCCAUUCAUCUCUUAGAGCUGGAUGUCAGCGGCCACACUUCCCCUGCUGUGAUCCUGCGCUAUCAGGCUGGCUGGGACCCACGACGCAGGAAUGUCAACCCCGUGGGCAUGAUGGAGGCCAUGGAAGUGGAAGAUCUUGUUCUGUUUGGAAUGGUGAGGAUUGAAUGACUCCACUUUCUUUAUGGCAAACAGUUGCUUUAUAUAAUAAAUGCAAUUAACCCCAAAGGAGGAAAUAUUAAAUAAUAUCUUU
Molecule: long non-coding RNA, 499 nt
Filed under: Suricata suricatta (meerkat)
Lineage: Eukaryota; Metazoa; Chordata; Mammalia; Carnivora; Herpestidae
Description: lncRNA (ENSSSUG00005014307.1)
Source: RNAcentral